UGAGUACGAGCUGCUACGGCAGCGAAGUGGGUGAUGUCAUGCUUCCAAGAAAAGCACUAUACCCGUUAAGGCAUGAUGGCCUGUACCCGAAACCGACACAGGUGGGGUGGUAGAGAAUACCGAGGGGCGCGAGGUAACUCUCUCUAAGGAACUCGGCAAAAUGGCCCCGUAACUUCGGGAGAAGGGGUGCCACCGCAAGGUGGUCGCAGUGAAGAGGCCCAGGCGACUGUUUACCAAAAACACAGGUCUCCGCUAAGUCGCAAGACGAUGUAUGGGGGCUGACGCCUGCCCAGUGCCGGAAGGUUAAGGAAGCUGGUCAGCGUAAGCGAAGCUAGCGACUGAAGCCCCGGUGAACGGCGGCCGUAACAAUAACGGUCCUAAGGUAGCGAAAUUCCUUGUCGGGUAAGUUCCGACCCGCACGAAAGGCGUAACGAUCUGGGCGCUGUCUCGGAGAGAGGCUCGGCGAAAUAGAAUUGUCUGUGAAGAUGCGGACUACGUGCACCCGGACAGAAAGACCCUAUGAAGCUUUACUGUAGCUUGGUAUUGUGCUCGGGCUCGGAAUGCGCAGGAUAGGUGGGAGGCUAUGAACCAUUGCUUGCGGGUGAUGGUGAGCCACUGGUGAGAUACCACUCUUUCCGAGCUAGAGUUCUAAUAGCCACCUGUUAUCCGGGGGCUGGACAGUAUCAGGUGGGCAGUUUGACUGGGGCGGUCGCCUCCUAAAAGGUAACGGAGGCGCGCAAAGGUUUGCUCAGGCUGGUUGGAAAUCAGCCGACGAGUGUAAAAGCAGAAGCAAGCUUGACUGUGAGACCUACAAGUCGAACAGGGAGGAAACUCGGCUUUAGUGAUCCGACGGUUCUGCGUGGAAGGGCCGUCGCUCAACGGAUAAAAGUUACUCUAGGAUAACAGGCUGAUCUCCCCCAAGAGUUCACAUCGACGGGGAGGUUUGGCACCUCGAUGUCGGCUCAUCGCAACCUGGGGCUGAAGUCGGUCCCAAGGGUUGGGCUGUUCGCCCAUUAAAGCGGUACGCGAGCUGGGUUCAGAACGUCGUGAGACAGUUCGGUCCAUAUCCGGUGCAUGCGCAGGAAUAUUGAGAGGAUUUCUCCCUAGUACGAGAGGACCGGGAGGAACGCACCUCUGGUGUACCAGUUAUCGUGCCAACGGUAAACGCUGGGUAGCCAUGUGCGGAGAGGAUAACCGCUGAAAGCAUCUAAGUGGGAAGCCCACCUCAGGAUGAGUAUUCCCAUGGGGUAACCCAGUAAGGUCACGGGAAGAACACCCGUUGAUAGGCUCUACGUGGAAGCGCAGUAAUGUGUGAAGCGGAGGAGUACUAAUAGACCGAGGGCUUGAUC
Molecule: ribosomal RNA, 1349 nt
Filed under: metagenome
Description: bacterial LSU rRNA
Rfam family: Bacterial large subunit ribosomal RNA
Source: RNAcentral